CUUCUCUUGGAAAGGUUUCUGCUGGCCUUGGAAUUAUUCAGCCAGCAUUUGUGGGGAGCUGGCUUUGCCUUCUGGCUCAGAUUCCCCGGACAGACAUCACAAAGAGCGUAUUCCUACUUGGCAGCGUGAUUUAAGCGCUCAGUGUUAAGUAGGUGUGAUGAGGAUACCCAGGCUGAAAUACUGCCCUGCUUCCGAUUGGGGCUGAGCAGCAGAACAGAAGCAGAACAGGAUUCAAGAAGAGGCUUGUACAGUUUCAGCACCGAUGCUCUUUUCCCAGAGACCAUUAGAUCAAAGAGAAAGCGAAAGUAUUAGCAUUUAGGGACAACGGAACUGGGCCGAAUUGUGCAGUUCCAUACUGUGCUGGCAAAAAGGAAAUCACCAGGUUCUACCCUUUUUGGAUUAGGGAUGGAGGGUGCAGUGGACAGUUGGUGGCCUCUAGUUGAUAGAGCCUGGAUCUGCUUUGGACUGUCAUGUUGUCCCAGAAACGAAGGCAAACGAAUGCUGUGUGGCUUGUUAUCAGGAGAGCAGUAUCUAUUGGUGGGGCCCCAGGGCCUGCUGACAAAGUCCAUGUAAAGGCAAGGCUGAUGGAUGUCCAACAUUAAGGAGAAUGGGGAGAGGAAUAAAGUGGAAGAAGCCAAACA
RNAcentral lists this long non-coding RNA (641 nucleotides) under Sus scrofa (pig). RNAcentral's name for it is "lncRNA (ENSSSCG00050056095.1, ENSSSCG00065030999.1, ENSSSCG00070030549.1)". Lineage: Eukaryota; Metazoa; Chordata; Mammalia; Artiodactyla; Suidae. The record is from RNAcentral.